GAUGAACGCUGGCGGCGUGCUUAACGCAUGCAAGUCGAACGGAAAGGCUCCUGCUUGCAGGGGUACUCGAGUGGCGAACGGGUGAGUAACACGUGGGUGAUCUGCCCUGCACUUCGGGAUAAGCCUGGGAAACUGGGUCUAAUACCGGAUAGGACCACAUUUUGGAUGGUGUGGUGGAAAGUUUUUCGGUGUGGGAUGAGCUCGCGGCCUAUCAGCUUGUUGGUGGGGUAAUGGCCUACCAAGGCGUCGACGGGUAGCCGGCCUGAGAGGGUGUACGGCCACAUUGGGACUGAGAUACGGCCCAGACUCCUACGGGAGGCAGCAGUGGGGAAUAUUGCACAAUGGGCGCAAGCCUGAUGCAGCGACGCCGCGUGGGGGAUGACGGCCUUCGGGUUGUAAACUCCUUUCGCUAGGGACGAAGCGUUUUUGUGACGGUACCUGGAGAAGAAGCACCGGCUAACUACGUG
Molecule: ribosomal RNA, 467 nt
Filed under: uncultured bacterium
Lineage: Bacteria
Description: partial 16S ribosomal RNA
Rfam family: Bacterial small subunit ribosomal RNA
Source: RNAcentral